Molecule: small RNA, 80 nt
Filed under: Cricetulus griseus (Chinese hamster)
Lineage: Eukaryota; Metazoa; Chordata; Mammalia; Rodentia; Cricetidae
Source: RNAcentral
UCUCCGAUCCAAGUACUAACCAGGCCUGACCCUGAUCAGCUUCCAGAAUCAGACGAGAUUGGCAUGUUCAGGGUGGUAUG